CCCUCCCGCCCCUUCCCAGAUACUCAGCUUUUUGUCCUGCAUCUAAUGUUUUCAUUAGGAAACUGGGCGCAACCAAGUCAAGGAGGGAAGGAUUAGAGAGCAAGAGAGCAAACGCAGGGCAAAGAGGGAAAGAGGGAGUUUCUGGAGGAGAAGAAUUUUUUGGUUUUUCAGUGUGAUUUUGAAUUAAAGGAGAACUUGGGGUUCUCACAUUUUCUCUUUUUUCUUUCCUUCACACUCUCUCCACUCUUUGACACCAGCUGCUUGCCAGCUUUUAUCAUGAUCUGCCCUUCCAGCUCCUCCAUUGGAUUCCUCCUCCUCCUGAUUGGCUACGCUGCAGCAGGACCGGAUCCUGACUUGCGGCCUCGAGCGGUGCGUUCAAGUGCCUGUCAGGAGCACACAAAUCUUCACAACCGCCUGGAUGUAGUGGAGAAGAAAGUCGAGGACACAGUUGAGAAGUUGGAGGUUGAGCUCACAACUCUUCUGGAAUCUAUUAAUGCCCCCAAAUGGCGCCCCCUGUUGGACAAUAUGGGACAGACAACUGUGGACAUCCUGGAAGCUCCAGAGCAGAGUCAGUCCUGAACCAAGCAGACACUGAUGGAGAAGGGACUUGAAGAAGCAAUUAAACUUUGAAUGGUUUAUUCUGUUUUCAUGACCUAAAUGUUAACUUUUACAGAAACUUUGUAUGCAUAUAUUCUGUAUAUCAAAAUGAAAUUUGUAUUAUAAAAGAGGAUGCUUUUUUUUGUUGCACGUCACGCUUCUCUAAAUUAUUUACUCCUACUAAUCCUGUGACAGCCUCGUGAUCUCUUUUCCAGACUCUUUCUCAGGCUCAGAGUCUCCCUCCUGCAGUCAGUAGUGACCCAGUUCAUGUUUACCUUCUCAACGAGACUGAUUCACUUUGGAAACCUCUGCUCAGUAAAUGCACACCCCUGCUCUCUACCGCCCUCUAAUGCCUGCAGCCAAACUGUGCCUUAACCCUUAGAUGCACAAGCGAUCGGACCCUACACUCUUCCAUAAGUGGAUCAAAAAUGACCCGAAUAAGAAUUAAUGUGUUUUUAUGUCAUUUUGUUAAAGAAUAAUCAUUUGUAUUAUAUUUUGG
This is a long non-coding RNA of Amphiprion ocellaris (clown anemonefish), 1096 nucleotides long. The record is from Ensembl. Lineage: Eukaryota; Metazoa; Chordata; Actinopteri; Pomacentridae.